This 717-nucleotide long non-coding RNA is filed under the name Homo sapiens (human). RNAcentral's name for it is "non-protein coding lnc-S100A12-2:1". Lineage: Eukaryota; Metazoa; Chordata; Mammalia; Primates; Hominidae. The record is from RNAcentral.
GUCUCUUGUCAGCUGUCUUUCAGAAGACCUGGUAAGUGGGACUGUCUGGGUUGGCCCCGCACUUUGGGCUUCUCUUGGGGAGGGUCAGGGAAGUGGAGCAGCCUUCCUGAGAGAGGAGAGAGAAAGCUCAGGGAGGUCUGGAGCAAAGAUACUCCUGGAGGUGGGGAGUGAGGCAGGGAUAAGGAAGGAGAGUAUCCUCCAGCACCUUCCAGUGGGUAAGGGCACAUUGUCUCCUAGGCUGGACUUUUCUUGAGCAGAGGGUGGGGUGGUAAGGAAAGUCUACGGGCCCCGUGUGUGUGCACAUGUCUCUGUGUGAAUGGACCCUUCCCCUUCCCACACGUGUAUCCCUAUCAUCCCACCCUUCCCACCAGAGCCAUAGCCAUCUGCUGGUUUGGUUAUUUGGAGAGUGCAGGCCAGGACAAGGCCAUCGCUUGGGGCAUGAAUCCUCUGCGUACUGCCCUGGCCAGAUGCAAAUUCCCUGCCAUGGGAUUCCCCAGAAGGUUCUGUUUUUCAGGUGGGGCAAGUCCGUGGGCAUCAUGUUGACCGAGCUGGAGAAAGCCUUGAACUCUAUCAUCGACGUCUACCACAAGUACUCCCUGAUAAAGGGGAAUUUCCAUGCCGUCUACAGGGAUGACCUGAAGAAAUUGCUAGAGACCGAGUGUCCUCAGUAUAUCAGGAAAAAGGGUGCAGACGUCUGGUUCAAAGAGUUGGAUAUCA